UCCUUGGUGAUCCAGUGGUAAGACUCUGUGCUCCCAAUUCAGGAGGCCCGGGUUCGAUCCCUGGUCAGGGAG
RNAcentral lists this transfer RNA (72 nucleotides) under Ovis aries (sheep). It matches the Rfam family "tRNA". From Rfam's summary of the family: Transfer RNA (tRNA) molecules are approximately 80 nucleotides in length. Their secondary structure includes four short double-helical elements and three loops (D, anti-codon, and T loops). Lineage: Eukaryota; Metazoa; Chordata; Mammalia; Artiodactyla; Bovidae. The record is from Rfam by way of RNAcentral.